GUGAGGAAUAUUGGUCAAUGGGGGCAACCCUGAACCAGCCAAGUCGCGUGAAGGAUGAAGGUCUUAUGGAUUGUAAACUUCUUUUACACGGGAAUAAAGUGGGGGACGUGUCCCCCUUUGCAUGUACCGUGUGAAUAAGGAUCGGCUAACUCCGUGCCAGCAGCCGCGGUAAUACGGAGGAUCCGAGCGUUAUCCGGAUUUAUUGGGUUUAAAGGGUGCGCAGGCGGGAUGUUAAGUCGGCGGUGAAAUUUUGCAGCUCAACUGUAAAAGUGCCUUCGAUACUGGCCUCCUUGAGUGUGGAUGAAGUAGGCGGAAUUUGUGGUGUAGCGGUGAAAUGCUUAGAUAUCACGAGGAACUCCGAUUGCGCAGGCAGCUUACUAAGCCACAACUGACGCUCAUGCACGAAGGCGUGGGGAUCAAACA
Molecule: ribosomal RNA, 423 nt
Filed under: uncultured bacterium
Lineage: Bacteria
Description: bacterial SSU rRNA
Rfam family: Bacterial small subunit ribosomal RNA
Source: RNAcentral